This 3088-nucleotide long non-coding RNA is filed under the name Rattus norvegicus (Norway rat). RNAcentral describes it as "long non-coding RNA NONRATT027959". The record is from RNAcentral. Lineage: Eukaryota; Metazoa; Chordata; Mammalia; Rodentia; Muridae.
ACAGCACCCAUGUCACUCCCCUGAUGACAUGUGCAGCUGCCUGCGCCCUCCAUGUGAAGAACAGGUCCAGCAGGCUACACAGAGGUGCUCAGCCCUCACGCUUAGCACGCUUCCCGUCAUGUGUCCCUGCUGGAAGUCUAGUCGGUCUUUAUAUUUAUUGUGCCUUACAUAGGAAGAAGGGACUGAAUCUUUCCCUAUGAACAGUCAUCCAGAAAACAGGCUGUGGUGGCCACACACUUUGCAUCUUUCUUAUUUGAUUCUUUUAAAGAAGUGUGGGGAGGAAAACCUGUCAUCUUUGUUGUUUUACCAGAAUGAAGACAGCUCCUCCUGUUAGCAAAACCUAUACUUAGAGCAGCAGCAGAACGCUACCCAUUUUAGAAGGUAAUUCCCAGGUCUGUCCUCAGAAAGUUCCCCUUUUGGAUAGUCCAGAUGAAGAAAUGUCUCACUGUAUCCCUUCGUAGAUUCCUAACUCGGCCAUUUCUAAAUCUAAACCGAUAUCUUAAGUCAGAGGCAGUGAAGCUGUUCAAGAACAGUGUGAUUUGUGCCCUGUGACAGUCUGAACAGUGUGUGUGCAUGACAGACAGACAGACAGACUGACUAAGCAGAUGACAGGAAUGGCGUCAGCAGUUUAUGCCGUAACCACGCCCAGAGCAAAAAACCUACUCAGUUUUAUAAGCUCCUUUCCCAACCAAAAUGGGUUGUCCUCAUUCAAAAAACCUGUGACAUAGACCUUAGAAUUUUGCUCCUUUAGUGGUGAGCAUGGGACAUGGUUUGUUUUGGAGCGAGAAUGUUGAAAUGCUGAACUUAGCUAGCUUUAGGACCUGAAAGGCAGGCGGGGACUGCAGCAAGGCCCUGAAGUUCUCAGUGAGUCGCAUUCCCCUGAGCUGAACCUACCCUGCAGGCGGGAGAGCUGAGAUCACAUGAUCUGUAAGCUGCUAAUACAUAAAGAGAGAUAAUGUAUAAGCUCAUGAAUUGAGCGCACGAAGAGUGACCCUCAUGCUGCACAUAGACUUCGUCUUUGUUGGAAGGUGGACUGGAUAGCUAAGAGCUAGCUUCCCAAUGGCAUUCCAAUUUGUGUACGCCUUGGGCCGGUGCCUCUGGGCACUAAUGUUCAUCGAUACACAGUCUCUGAAGACCGGGGCACAUGCCCGGAGCCUGCAGCACGGCACUUAAAUGAGCCUCAGAAAUGUCCCUUCCAGCUCACGAAGUCAGUUCACUCACGCUCUGUUGACCUGUACUUGAGCCCAGCACUGUCAUUCAGAAGGGGAGGCUAAUGUGACAAUUCUUCCUUUAAUUCUUUUUGUUAACGUUAGUGCUAAAAGGCUGUGAUAAGUUAGAACAAGCCUCAGGAAAUAGCCUCUUACCUAUUAGCGGAGUACCUGAAAAAUAUCCAUCUGUAGGGUCCAGUUUUCCUACAUACAUCUUUGAUCACAGUAUGCUAAGGGGAAAAAAUUAGGACACAAAACUGGCAUUUUAUGUUUCCUUGGAGUCCUUGGCAGAUACUGACACUGAUGUGGGUAGCCGUCCCUCACGGUGUCUCGAGAGGAAAGCUACGUGUUUACACUGUCUGUUCUGCGCAGUCUCUCAGCUAAGAUGAUAUCCUGGAUCUUUUUUUAAUGUACAAAACCCUGUAGAACCAGUGCUUUGGCUGCUUUCUAUCCUAGCAGAGAGGACCUUGGUCCUCUCUACUUAGAAAGCUACUUCAGAAGCUAUUGGGAAGUCAAGGUUUGUGUCUUCUCUACUGAGGUCUCAGAAAGGGAGAGAGCAUCUCUGGGAGCCGGGCCUCGGGCAGGAAGUACCCAGAGCCUCAUGUGUGGCCCAGCAGCCUUCGCCUCUAUAGCAGUGAGCUCAACAGUCUGGCCUGCCACCUCCCUCAGGGCAUCAUUGCUUACUGCAAAGCACACCUUCACCAUGCUCCAGCCAGACAGCUCCAGUCUCGCCAACAAGUGCCAAAAGUCUGAGGAACACAGGGGAUCUCUUCUCGAAAGCCCCAUCAAGUAGUGCCAUCUUGGGGCUUCCCAGGACUUCCAGUAUAGGUGGUUACGAUCACAAGAAACCUCCAGGCAAGGGUCCAUUCAGUCUGUACAUUGGUAGGGACACGAGAGGUGGGAUUGCCAUCUGGGCCUCAGUGGCUUGUCUCCAACCAAAUUAUUGGACUUCAGAAGCCAUCCCUCUGCUGUGCUUGACUUCAGACUCAGUUGCUGCACCUUGGUCAUGAUCUGAGUACAAAAGCUGUACCAGUUUCCCAUGCUCAGACCCUCUGUCUGUCUGUCCUCGUGAUACUGAAGUGUCUCCACUCGCCCAGCGGCUUCUCUGUGGAAGUGGCUUCUCUCCAGGCUGCUAAUCUGUUUUUUCCGGGCGGUACUAGGACAGCAUCCUGAGAAACGGGACCAGUUCUCCACCCGCUCUGACUGCUCAGGAGGCCUGGGUCCCGUUUACCCUGUCACUCUUUACUGGAAGGGAGGUUGCUCAGUCACCAGGUCGCUCACUUUCCAUUCAGAGACGCUUUGCUCUGCUUGUGUGCCGCGAGUUUCUGUCUCCAGAAAAGUGUAACUUUGCCCUUUUUCUGCAUGACGCACGUACCCAUGUCGCGCACUAAGUAGUUUAAAUGAGGUAAAGGAAAACGCAGAGCACAUCUUGCUUGCCUCUUAGAGUUUCCUCCCUAAAUUGAAGUCCAUAGGCUAAUAUAUUAUUUUGUAGUAUCUCAGACUUUGCAUAAAUACUAUUAUUUUUGUAUGGAAUUUUUUAUAGAAGAGCUAUUUCUGUAUACUUAUUUGUGGUUUUUGAAAUGCCUUCCAGUAGGUAACCGACAAGUCUUAAGCAGUGUCCACUAAGGGUAGCUCAGGGACCACCUACCCAGAAUAGGCAGGGAAUUUAAAUUUUCUUACUCCCUGUACCCACUCCAGACAGAAGCUCAGGUUGUGUCUAGGAAGCAGUUUUAAUAAGCUCUGAGUGAUUUUCUUCAUCAACCCACACAUAUUUGUCCAUGCUGUAAGAGAAGACAUCUGGAAUGAGUAUGUUGAGCUGGAGAAUAAUUGUAUCAUAUACUCUGUGAUUUGAGAUACAAAAUAAAGAAAUAAUUUAAAAU